AUCUAGUUUUCCUAACUUCCCAUGAGCCUUUGUGCCCGUGUCUGUAUGUAUGCAGAGUGGAUCUAGGUUCCCUAACUUCCCAUGAGCCUUUGUGCCUGUGUCUGUAUGUAUGCAGAGUGGAUCUAGGUUCCCUAACUUCCCAUGAGCCUUUGUGCCCGUGUCUGUAGGUAUGCAGAGUGGAUCUAGGUUCCCUAACUUCCCAUGAGCCUUUGUGCCCGUGUCUG
Molecule: long non-coding RNA, 224 nt
Organism: Apodemus sylvaticus (European woodmouse)
Lineage: Eukaryota; Metazoa; Chordata; Mammalia; Rodentia; Muridae
Exons: 3
Source: RefSeq, a predicted model, not a curated record